This is a long non-coding RNA of Cyprinus carpio carpio, 1057 nucleotides long. Lineage: Eukaryota; Metazoa; Chordata; Actinopteri; Cypriniformes; Cyprinidae. The record is from Ensembl.
UAUUUUUUUCGGGUACUUGUACUUUUUUGAGUAUAUUUUUAAAGCUGUACUUUUACUUGUACCUAAGUACAAAUUAAGCUAAAUCUACUUCGUUAUUUUUAAAUCAUAGUUCGUUACUGAGUACACCUACAAUUUGAAUUGAUAUUCAAACUUUUGAAGGCACUUCAGCAGCCAAUAAAAAUAUCCGAUCGUAAAGGGACCAAUAACAGCGCUGAUAUCUGAACCAGCGCCGCUGCAGCAGGUGAAGAGCUGAUCAGACAGUGAGGGAGCUCAGCGUGAUUUAUGGACUCAAAGCUUGAAGAAACAAACUACAUGUAUCUACCGAAUAUUCACCGAUAAAAUCUGCGUCUCUCCUCUCCGACAGAGAGUUUGACAAUCAUCCGUCUACCGUCAAUUACAGAGUCUGAAAGUCUGCGUGGGAUUGCAGCAUCCAUCUUCAGGAUUCGGCCAUAGGUGGAGAUAAUCACGCCCCUUAUCAUGGCUGAGGAUGUUGUUGGAGUGGACAGUCUCUAACCACUGGUCAGAGAUGUACUGGAUGGUGCGUCGUGCCCACUCCUCACUGUGGACUUCCUCUACUGCUGACUGGAAGUAGGAGGAACUGUUACCACUGGUCCUUGGCCUGAGGAAAGUCACACAUUUCCUGUCCAGGGUCAGCACCGCUGGAAACUUGGUCCUGUGUGCCACAUCCAGUUGUGAAAGGAUGUCCUGGCUCCAUGGGCAUACUGGCAACCUGCAUGCACUGCAGAGUGAUAGUACCCACCCACAAGGUAAUAGCGGCUAUCCAUGUUGAUCACCUCCCUGACCUUCGGGUAGAUUCCUGAAUGCUGCAUCAUCUGGCCACACUGUGGGCAUUUCAGAGGAAUGCCCCACAUCCUCAUUGGUGUGGAUGUAUAUAAAUAAAGACUCACAUCAAAUAUACAAAAGCAGACAUGUUGAGUGGUGAAAUAUGUUUUAGGUUAAUAGUUUUCUGCAGUAAAUAUGUUCCUACUUGCAAAAAAUUGCAAAUAGCUUUUGAUGUAUAAUUAUAAAAACUGUUUUUAUAUAAAGUAAGAAAGGG